GGCAUUAUGUGCUUGCACAUUUUGGACGUCGACCGGCGCACGGGUGAGUAUCGCGUAUCCAACCUGCCCUUUACUUGGGGAUACCCCGUUGAAAGACGGCCUAAUACCCGAUGUAAUUCAUUGAUGGCAUCAGAUAUGAAUAAAAGAUUUAUCGGUAAAGGAUGGGGAUGCGUCUGAUUAGCUUGUUGGUGAGGUAAUGGCUCACCAAGGCAACGAUCAGUAGGGGUUCUGAGAGGAAGGUCCCCCACAUUGGAACUGAGACACGGUCCAAACUCCUACGGGAGGCAGCAGUGAGGAAUAUUGGUCAAUGGGCGCAAGCCUGAACCAGCCAAGUAGCGUGCAGGAAGACGGCCCUAUGGGUUGUAAACUGCUUUUAUACGAGAAUAAUUUGAUGCACGUGUGCGUUAUUGCAUGUAUCGUAUGAAUAAGGACCGGCUAAUUCCGUGCCAGCAGCCGCGGUAAUACGGAAGGUCCAGGCGUUAUCCGGAUUUAUUGGGUUUAAAGGGAGUGUAGGCGGUUUGUUAAGCGUGUUGUGAAAUUUAGAUGCUCAACAUUUAACUUGCAGCGCGAACUGUCAGACUUGAGUACACGCAACGUAUGCGGAAUUCAUGGUGUAGCGGUGAAAUGCUUAGAUAUCAUGAAGAACUCCGAUUGCGAAGGCAGCAUACGGGAGUGUAACUGACGCUUAAGCUCGAAGGUGCGGGUAUCGAACAGGAUUAGAUACCCUGGUAGUCCGCACAGUAAACGAUGGAUGCCCGCUGUUAGCGCCUGGCGUUAGCGGCUAA
Molecule: ribosomal RNA, 785 nt
Filed under: uncultured Prevotellaceae bacterium
Lineage: Bacteria; Pseudomonadati; Bacteroidota; Bacteroidia; Bacteroidales; Prevotellaceae
Description: bacterial SSU rRNA
Rfam family: Bacterial small subunit ribosomal RNA
Source: RNAcentral